Molecule: unclassified non-coding RNA, 206 nt
Filed under: plant metagenome
Description: partial contains small subunit ribosomal RNA, internal transcribed spacer 1, and 5.8S ribosomal RNA
Source: RNAcentral
UUUCCGUAGGUGAACCUGCGGAAGGAUCAUUAUGAAUGUAUAUUUUACAUACCUAACCACUCUCGCAUACGCUUUGCUCUUUUACUCGGCAAGCCGAGUAACUGCGUAGGGCCGUAUCGAUAGUAAAAGUCAAUCAUUAAUAACUGUAACAUUACAAAACACAAUACACACAUGAGCACCUUGCUGCAAUGGAUCUCUCGGCUCUU